RNAcentral lists this transfer RNA (61 nucleotides) under Neelides sp. FZ-2019. Its description in RNAcentral is "tRNA-Gly". Lineage: Eukaryota; Metazoa; Arthropoda; Collembola; Neelipleona; Neelidae. The record is from RNAcentral.
AUACACUUAGUAUAAAAGUAUAUUUAAUUUCCAAUUAAAAGGUUCAUUAAUGAAGUGUAUA